RNAcentral lists this ribosomal RNA (483 nucleotides) under uncultured bacterium. RNAcentral's name for it is "bacterial SSU rRNA". It matches the Rfam family "Bacterial small subunit ribosomal RNA", at positions 29 to 507 of the family's 1533-position model. The record is from RNAcentral.
AUUAAACGCUGGCGGCAUGCCUUACACAUGCAAGUCGAACGGCAGCACGGGGGCAACCUGGUGGCGAGUGGCGGACGGGUGAGUAAAGCAUCGGAACGUAUCCUGGAGUGGGGGAUAACGUAGCGAAAGUUACGCUAAUACCGCAUAUUCUGUGAGCAGGAAAGCAGGGGAUCGCAAGACCUUGCGCUCUGGGAGCGGCCGAUGUCGGAUUAGCUAGUUGGUGGGGUAAAGGCCUACCAAGGCGACGAUCCGUAGCGGGUCUGAGAGGAUGAUCCGCCACACUGGGACUGAGACACGGCCCAGACUCCUACGGGAGGCAGCAGUGGGGAAUUUUGGACAAUGGGCGCAAGCCUGAUCCAGCCAUGCCGCGUGAGUGAAGAAGGCCUUCGGGUUGUAAAGCUCUUUCGGCGGGGAAGAAAUUGCACGGGUUAAUACCCUGUGUAGAUGACGGUACCCGAAUAAGAAGCACCGGCUAACUACGUG